This 158-nucleotide ribosomal RNA is filed under the name Danio rerio (zebrafish). Its description in RNAcentral is "5.8S ribosomal RNA from Danio rerio (PDB 7OYB, chain 81)". It matches the Rfam family "5.8S ribosomal RNA". From Rfam's summary of the family: 5.8S ribosomal RNA (5.8S rRNA) is a component of the large subunit of the eukaryotic ribosome. The record is from RNAcentral. Lineage: Eukaryota; Metazoa; Chordata; Actinopteri; Cypriniformes; Danionidae.
AACUCUUAGCGGUGGAUCACUCGGCUCGUGCGUCGAUGAAGAACGCAGCUAGCUGCGAGAACUAAUGUGAAUUGCAGGACACACAUUGAUCAUCGACCUUUCGAACGCACAUUGCGGCCCCGGGUCCAUCCCGGGGCCACGCCUGUCUGAGGGUCGCC